Molecule: long non-coding RNA, 1006 nt
Organism: Cotesia glomerata
Lineage: Eukaryota; Metazoa; Arthropoda; Insecta; Hymenoptera; Braconidae
Exons: 3
Source: RefSeq, a predicted model, not a curated record
UUUCUUUCUGUGAAUGAAUAGAAAUGAAAUGAAUAGAAGAAAUCAUAAUUUAUUAAAUAGUUAUUUUAUGAACAUUAAACUAGAAAUUAAUCUAAAGAUUCAGCUUACGAAAUUUCAAUUGAAAGUAAAUUCUAAAAAUUGCAACCUGUUCUAAGAAUUAAUUAAGAUUCUGGUUGAAAAACGUUCGAUUUUAUUAAUACGAUUAUUUAUUUAAAACGAGGCAAUGAUUUAUUCUAUCGAAAUGAGUCAGAUUUGAUCCAGUGUAGCUAAAGAUUUAUCGUCGAGUGAUCUGGAACUUAGUAACGAGGUCCGGAAUAACAAUGAAGGAAAUAAUUCAGUCAUUUCCAAGAGAUAACAUUCCUGUGAAUAGAAGUGAAUCAAUGCAGGUGAUUUGUAGCAUAGUUAACGCGCUCAAUAUUACAGAGGGUCAGAGUUAUAUAUUUUAAGAAGAAUUUUUUCUAUGGCCCAUGGCCCCCUGGUGUUUGCUUACGACGAGAUUUGACUCAAAAUAAAUUAAGCAGGGAAAUGUUAAGUUUCACUUUUGAGUGUACAGAAAUAGCGAACAGGUGCAGACGAAAAGGCGACUGGAAAGUAGUUGCCGUAAGAAAUGAAGGUGAAUAAAAAAUAAUGAAUAAAAUAAAAUAAAUAAAAAAUAAAGAAUAAUAUAAGGACUAUGUGUCUUCACAGAAGUUAAACUCUGCUGUUAAUAUUCCGUAUUUUAAUUUUGUCUGGUCUUAUUGACGCCAAGUUAUACGGUAAACGAGGCGUGUCCUCGCAAAAGACACGUCUCUGCUAAUUGCAACCUGGCGAACGAUUAAUGCGUUGUGAAAAAAAAUCUUCAUACACACGCAACACACACAUUUAAUUAAAUAGAAUUUUGUUUAUGUACGAGUGGAGAGUUGAGAGUUGAGAGAAAAUAAUAAUAAAAAGAGAGUGAAUAAGUAGCGAGUUCUGACUUGUAAUGAACGUAAGAAUCUUUAAGACUCAAAGUGUUAUUGUCUGAACA